RNAcentral lists this unclassified non-coding RNA (311 nucleotides) under plant metagenome. RNAcentral describes it as "partial contains 5.8S ribosomal RNA, internal transcribed spacer 2, and large subunit ribosomal RNA". The stretch from base 1 to 104 matches the Rfam family "5.8S ribosomal RNA", at positions 50 to 154 of the family's 154-position model. The record is from RNAcentral.
GAAAUGCGAUAAGUAAUGUGAAUUGCAGAAUUCUGUGAAUCAUCGAAUCUUUGAACGCACAUUGCGCCCUCUGGCAUUCCGGGGGCAUGCCUGUCCGAGCGUCAUUACGCACCCUCAAGCCCGGCUUGUGUGAUGGGCCCUGGCGUCUCGUUCGCGAGACGGGCCCGAAAGGCAGCGGCGGCGUCGACCCGAUGAGCCCGAGCGUAUGGGGACUUUUGUCACACGUUUGCGGUGCGGACCGGCGCCUGCUUGACUUUUCUGAUUAUCCAGGUUGACCUCGGAUCAGGUAGGGAUACCCGCUGAACUUAAGC